Non-coding RNA from Callorhinus ursinus (northern fur seal), 604 nucleotides. Lineage: Eukaryota; Metazoa; Chordata; Mammalia; Carnivora; Otariidae. The record is from RefSeq and is a predicted model, not a curated record.
CUCCUCCCGGCCCUCCCACAUGCUGAGCCUCCUGCCGGAGACGCUCUCCCUUUCCUCUCACUUCUUCCAGAAGGCCUCCUCUGACCCUGCAGAUCACGGCGCUGUUUCCUUUCUGUCCACUGGGUGCCCUGUGAUUGUCUACCUCACUUCCUGCCUCUGCCCCUGAUUUGAUGGCGAAACAGGUUCUCGUCGUGUGACACCACCACCACACCAUCCCGGGUCAGCCGGCAGUCAAGCUCCAGAAAGUCGGAUCGCUGGGCCACGGAGCUAUGGGAGUGAAGGCUCAUUCUUCCUUGGAAUGCUUUUGUUGGCCAGGACCUUUUUUGGCUGUCUGGGAAACACCCACAUUUAGGAUAUUCUUUACCAGGUGAGGGAAUAUCCCUCUGCCCAGGCAGUAGGACAUGGUGAAGCUGCAGUUCUCCGGGUCUGUCUGACUCCAUCAUGCUCCACAGCCUCUUGAGGGUGGUCCUGUCUCUCUCCAUAGCGGAUGUACCCAUCAGGACUCUUUCAGUUGUAAGUGCCAGAAAUCCAACUCAAACUUACUGGCCUAUGUGGAAGAAGGAACCUAUGUCUUAUGUGACAGAAAGGCUAAGGGGUUCAGGCA